UCCGCACAGUCGAAGAGCGCAGAACAACUACUGAAGCAAUAUUCAAUCUUAAAAAAAACCACCAUUAUACCUCAUCAUGAAUAAGGAAAUUGUUCUUAUGAUGUUUGUUUUUGCCAUCCUAUGCAUUACGACGACAAUGGCAGGUGUGCAGGAGUUCGCUAAAUUCGCUGCCGUUAACUACCAUCACGCUCGAUUCAUUCGCGAUGCUAGCCCACAAAGAUUCCCCGGCUGGCUUUUCGGUUAACUUGUUGGUAAAGUACGUUAACGUCUAGCAUAACGUCCUUGCUUAACGCCCUGCCCCCCUUUGCUCAGCAAACACCAAUACCUUAUUUAUUAUCGAACAUCACAUGAUUGAUUUUGACCCUAAUGGGUACCGUUAAUAUUUAUUUAUCACUUGUAUAAAAAGUUAUAUUAUUCUUGAGAAAUACAUAUUUGGGUGCAAACUUAA
Long non-coding RNA from Daphnia carinata, 448 nucleotides. RefSeq lists it as uncharacterized. NCBI's taxonomy places the organism in Eukaryota, Metazoa, Arthropoda, Branchiopoda, Diplostraca, Daphniidae. The record is from RefSeq and is a predicted model, not a curated record. The transcript has 2 exons.